Molecule: ribosomal RNA, 161 nt
Filed under: uncultured Chlamydiales bacterium
Lineage: Bacteria; Pseudomonadati; Chlamydiota; Chlamydiia; Chlamydiales
Description: partial 16S ribosomal RNA
Rfam family: Bacterial small subunit ribosomal RNA
Source: RNAcentral
AGCUGCAGUCGAGAUCUUUCGCAUGGGCGAAGCCUGACGAUGCGACGCCGCGUGAGYGAUGAAGGCYUUCGGGUUGUAAAGCUCUUUCGCUUGGGAACAAGAGAGGUUAGCGAAUAACUGRYCCAUUUGAGGGUACYRGGUAAAGAAGCACCGGCUAACUC